RNAcentral lists this ribosomal RNA (439 nucleotides) under uncultured Haloechinothrix sp. RNAcentral describes it as "bacterial SSU rRNA". It matches the Rfam family "Bacterial small subunit ribosomal RNA", at positions 338 to 787 of the family's 1533-position model. Lineage: Bacteria; Bacillati; Actinomycetota; Actinomycetes; Pseudonocardiales; Pseudonocardiaceae. The record is from RNAcentral.
CCUACGGGGGGCAGCAGUGGGGAAUAUUGCACAAUGGGCGCAAGCCUGAUGCAGCGACGCCGCGUGAGGGAUGACGGCCUUCGGGUUGUAAACCUCUUUCGAUCGGGACGAAGCCUUCGGGUGACGGUACCGGUAGAAGAAGCACCGGCUAACUACGUGCCAGCAGCCGCGGUAAUACGUAGGGUGCGAGCGUUGUCCGGAAUUAUUGGGCGUAAAGAGCUCGUAGGCGGUUUGUCGCGUCGGCCGUGGAAACUGGAGGCUUAACCUUCAGCGUGCGGUCGAUACGGGCAGACUUGAGUUCGGUAGGGGAGUCUGGAAUUCCUGGUGUAGCGGUGAAAUGCGCAGAUAUCAGGAGGAACACCGGUGGCGAAGGCGGGACUCUGGGCCGAUACUGACGCUGAGGAGCGAAAGCGUGGGGAGCGAACAGGAUUAGAUACCC